RNAcentral lists this long non-coding RNA (1613 nucleotides) under Equus caballus (horse). RNAcentral describes it as "lncRNA (ENSECAG00000029675.3)". Lineage: Eukaryota; Metazoa; Chordata; Mammalia; Perissodactyla; Equidae. The record is from RNAcentral.
AGGAAAGCAUUCUGGGAAAUGUAGUUCCUGCUUCGCCUAGCGGGCUACAAAGAGCUGCACCGUCUGACAUUCAGAUGAUAAAUAGUUUGCACCUGAGCCAGGCUUGCGUUACUUCCGUGACUUCAGUCUUUGCUCUCCUACCCUCUCACUUACUAGCUGAGCGCUCUGGGGGAGGUUAUCUAACCUUCCUGAGCCUCGUAUUCCUCAUACCGAAAACGGAGGUAACCAGAGUAACUACAUCCAAAAAUUGAGAGAACUGAAUGAGAUAAAUAAGGCGAGGUGUUUUUAACACGUCCUGCACAUGAAUAUCUAAAGAGACAAAGUGUAAUAAUCCAAGAAUCUUCUAUUGUGAGAAUAAUGGAGAUUGACAUUGUGAAGUAUAUAGAAAAACAUAAAAGCCCCCCGGUACAUAGCUGUAUAUUCUUCGUUGUGGGUCCUUCUAGUUGUGGCAUGUGGGACGCUGCCUCAGCGUGGUUUGAUGAGCAGUGCCAUGUCCGCGCCCAGGAUUCGAACCAACGAAACUCUGGGCCGCCUGCAGCGGAGCGCGCGAACUUAACCACUCGGCCACGGGGCCAGCCCCUCAUGGCAUAUUUUAAUAUUUCAUAUAUGUAACAUCUGUAUAAUAGAUAAUUUAUAUUAUAUUUUUAUUAUUUCCAGGUGCAAAUGUCCUCUCUUUUUCUUUAAUUUUACUUUUUUUUAACUCAAAUCCCUACUUUUAUUCUGUUCCCUACCAUGGCCAGGGUCUAAUGUAUUUAAUGUGUAUCCUGUAUUUAAAUAUGUUUUGGUAAAAUGUUGAUUAACAGCAAGGAUGUAACUCAAUGGCAACUCUUAUACACAGUUGGAAUACGUUGAAAAUCAAUUUGGCACAAUCUCGUGAGAUUAAAUGUCCACAAGAUGAAUACUCCAGUAAUUCUAUUUUUAAUCUGCACCCAUUCCCCACCCCCAAAACAAUAUUCAUAAUAGUGCUAUCGAUAAUAAAAAGUUGGAAGCAAUUAAAAUGCCCAUUUUCGGGAGAAUGAGUUUUAUAGGCAGUGAAAAUGAACAACAUCUACCGAUACCAAUUUGGAUGAAAAUUAGAAAUAAUUGUGAGUGGAAAAAGCAAGUCAAAGAUGACAGUGGACACUGUAAUACCAUUUUAGAGAACUCAGAAAGUUAAAAGUGCAUGUUGCCUAGAGUUGCAUGUUUUAUGUGGCAAAGAUAAUAAAAGAAUGGCCAUGGAAUGAUGAAUAUAAAAUUCCUGACAGUGGCUCCUUGCUUGGUAGUGUGCAGAGGAUGGGAUAGGAAGACACAGAUAGCAGAAGGGGUGUUGGAAAUGCACUAGAUGUUAACUGGGGUGUUGAGUUUGGGGAGGGAUGUUUAUUUUGCUAUUAAGCUUUAUAAUUUAAAUAUGUGAUUAUAUUUUUAUAUAUGAUAUUGAUGUGUGUCAAAUAUUGCCUAAUAACAUUUUUAAAAAUGUAAUUACAAAAUUGACUUGUAAUUUUUAUGACUUUUGAUUAUAGAAUCAACCUUUGCAUCACGUUUCUUAAUUACGGUUUCAUAGACAUUUUAUCUUUAUUAAAAAGGGUUUCAUUUUCUGUUGAUCAGCUUCAUUAAAGUUAAUUGAUAUUUUACCA